AACGAACGCUGGCGGCAUGCCUAACACAUGCAAGUCGAACGAGACCUUCGGGUCUAGUGGCGCACGGGUGCGUAACGCGUGGGAACCUGCCCUUAGGUUCGGAAUAACUCCCCGAAAGGGGUGCUAAUACCGGAUAAUGUCUUCGGACCAAAGAUUUAUCGCCUUUGGAUGGGCCCGCGUUGGAUUAGCUAAUUGGUAGGGUAAAAGCCUACCAAGGCGACGAUCCAUAGCUGGUCUGAGAGGAUGAUCAGCCACACUGGGACUGAGACACGGCCCAGACUCCUACGGGAGGCAGCAGUGGGGAAUAUUGGACAAUGGGCGAAAGCCUGAUCCAGCAAUGCCGCGUGAGUGAUGAAGGCCUUAGGGUUGUAAAGCUCUUUUACCCGGGAUGAUAAUGACAGUACCGGGAGAAUAAGCUCCGGCUAACUCCGU
Molecule: ribosomal RNA, 432 nt
Filed under: uncultured bacterium
Lineage: Bacteria
Description: partial 16S ribosomal RNA
Rfam family: Bacterial small subunit ribosomal RNA
Source: RNAcentral